Molecule: ribosomal RNA, 253 nt
Filed under: uncultured bacterium
Lineage: Bacteria
Description: partial 16S ribosomal RNA
Rfam family: Bacterial small subunit ribosomal RNA
Source: RNAcentral
CACGGGGGGAGCAAGCGUUGUUCGGAAUCACUGGGCGUAAAGGGCGUGUAGGCGGUUAAGUAAGUGGGAUGUGAAAUCCCUCGGCUCACCCGAGGACCUGCAUCCCAAACUGCUUAGCUUGAGUAUGGGAGAGGAUGAUGGAAUUCCUGGUGUAGCGGUGAAAUGCGUAGAUAUCAGGAGGAACACCGGUGGCGGAGGCGCUCAUCUGGCCCAAUACUGACGCUGAGGCGCGAAAGCUAGGGGAGCAAACGGG